RNAcentral lists this ribosomal RNA (1963 nucleotides) under human gut metagenome. RNAcentral describes it as "bacterial LSU rRNA". It matches the Rfam family "Bacterial large subunit ribosomal RNA", at positions 3 to 1991 of the family's 2925-position model. The record is from RNAcentral.
UCAAGCAAGAAAGAGCACAAGGAGAAUGCCUUGGCACUAGGAGCCGAUGAAAGACGUGGUAAGCUGCGAAAAGCUUCGGGGAGGCGCAAACAGCCAUCGAUCCGGAGAUAUCUGAAUGGGGAAACCUACUUGAGCAAACCUCAAGUAUCCAUGCGUGAAUCCAUAGCGUAUGGAAGGGAACGCUGUGAACUGAAACAUCUAAGUAGCAGUAGGAGGAGAAAGAAAACUCGAUUUCCUAAGUAGCGGCGAGCGAACGGGAAAGAGGCCAAACCGAAGGACCUGGUUCUUCGGGGUUGCGGACUGCAAUUAGCAUUGCUGAGAGAUAGACGAAUGGUUUUGGGAAAGCCAGCCGUAGACGGUGAAAGCCCGGUAGACGAAAUCUUGAAGCAGCGAGCAGGAUCCAGAGUACCACGAGACACGAGAAACCUUGUGGGAAGCCGGGGGGACCACCCCCCAAGCCUAAAUACUCCCUAGUGACCGAUAGUGAAGCAGUACUGUGAAGGAAAGGUGAAAAGGACCCCGGGAGGGGAGUGAAAGAGAACCUGAAACCUUGUGCUUACAAACAGUCAAAGGCCUACGGGCUGAUGGCGUACUUUUUGUAGAACGGUCCGGCGAGUUACUAAUGCCAGCGAGGUUAAGUGGUCAGAAGCCACGGAGCCGAAGGGAAACCAAGUCUGAAUAGGGCGUAGAGUUGGUAUUAGUAGACCCGAAACCGGGUGACCUAUCCAUGUCCAGGUUGAAGGAACCGUAAAAGGUUUUGGAGGACCGAACACACAUGUGUUGAAAAACGUGGUGAUGAGGUGUGGAUAGCGGAGAAAUUCCAAUCGAACUCGGAGAUAGCUGGUUCUCCUCGAAAUAGCUUUAGGGCUAGCCUCGAGCUGGAGUCUAACGGAGGUAAAGCACUGAACUGACGCGGGGCCCAAAAAGGUUACCAACUCAUAUCAAACUAAGAAUGCCGUCAAGAUACCCUCGGGAGUCAGUCUGCGUGAGAUAAGUCGCGUGGACAAAAGGGAAAGAGCCCAGACCGACAGCUAAGGUCCCAAAGUACGUGUUAAGUGGAAAAGGAUGUGGGAUUUCAUAGACAACUAGGAUGUUGGCUUAGAAGCAGCCAUACAUUUAAAGAGUGCGUAAUAGCUCACUAGUCGAGAAAACCUGCGCCGAAAAUGUAACGGGGCUAAAACACGACACCGAAGCUACGGAUUCCUUACUAAGUAAGGAGUGGUAGAGGAGCAUCCUGCAAGGACGAAGCCAAAGUGAGAGCGAUGGUGGACGAAACAGGAGAGAGAAUGCCGGAAUGAGUAGCGAGAUACAUGUGAGAAACAUGUAGGCCGAAUAUCUAAGGAUUCCUGGGUAAAGCUAAUCUUCCCAGGGUUAGUCGGGGCCUAAGGCGAGGACGAGAGUCGUAGUCGAUGGAUAACAGGUUGAUAUUCCUGUACUACACAUAAUCAGAACUGUGGGGACGCAGGAGGAUAGGGAAACCGGGGAAUGGAAAGACCCGGUCAAGCGCAAAGCUGUGGGAGAUAGGCAAAUCCGUCUCCUGUAAGUGAAGCGUGAUGAGGACUGAAAAAAAGUAAGGAAGUUUCCGAAUCCACACUGCCGAGAAAAGCCGCUAUUGCGUUAUGUGUACCCGUACCGUAAACCGACACAGGUAGAUGAGGAGAAAAUCCACAGGCCGACGGGAGAAGUGUUGUUAAGGAACUCGGCAAAAUGACCCCGUAACUUCGGGAUAAGGGGAGCCUCGCAAGAGGCCGCAGAAAAGAGGCACAAGCAACUGUUUAGCAAAAACAUAGGUCUAUGCGAAACCGUAAGGUGAAGUAUAUGGGCUGACGCCUGCCCGGUGCUGGAAGGUUAAAAGGAGAGGUCAGCGCAAGCGAAGCUUUGAAUUCAAGCCCCAGUAAACGGCGGCCGUAACUAUAACGGUCCUAAGGUAGCGAAAUUCCUUGUCAGGUAAGUUCUGACCCGC